AAAGGAAUUGACGGGGGCCCGCACAAGCGGUGGAGCAUGUGGUUUAAUUCGACGCAACGCGAAGAACCUUACCUGGGUUUGACAUGUGCAGGAUCAGUGAUGAAAGUCACUCUCCCUUCGGGGCCUGUGCACAGGUGCUGCAUGGCUGUCGUCAGCUCGUGUCGUGAGAUGUUGGGUUAAGUCCCGCAACGAGCGCAACCCUUGCCCUCUGUUGCUACCGGGUCAUGCCGGGCACUCUGAGGGGACUGCCCCGGUGAACGGGGAGGAAGGUGGGGAUGACGUCAAGUCCUCAUGGCCUUUAUGUCCAGGGCUACACACGUGCUACAAUGGUCAGGACAAUGGGUCGCUCCCUCGCAAGAGGUUGCCAAUCUCAAAAACCUGGCCCUAGUUCGGAUGGUCGGCUGCAACUCGCCGGCCUGAAGCUGGAGUCGCUAGUAAUCGGAGAUCAGCACGCUCCGGUGAAUACGUUCCCGGGCCUUGUACACACCGCCCGUCACACCACGAAAGCCGCGUGUACCAGAAGUCGCUGGGCCAACCCCUUCGGGGGAGGUAGGCGCCUAAGGUAUGCGGGG
Molecule: ribosomal RNA, 572 nt
Filed under: uncultured soil bacterium
Lineage: Bacteria
Description: bacterial SSU rRNA
Rfam family: Bacterial small subunit ribosomal RNA
Source: RNAcentral